This 468-nucleotide ribosomal RNA is filed under the name uncultured bacterium. Its description in RNAcentral is "partial 16S ribosomal RNA". It matches the Rfam family "Bacterial small subunit ribosomal RNA", at positions 28 to 507 of the family's 1533-position model. The record is from RNAcentral.
GACGAACGCUGGCGGCGUGCUUAACACAUGCAAGUCGAACGGAAAGGCCCUGCUUUUGUGGGGUGCUCGAGUGGCGAACGGGUGAGUAACACGUGAGUAACCUGCCCUUGACUUUGGGAUAACUUCAGGAAACUGGGGCUAAUACCGGAUAGGAUCUCCUGCUGCAUGGUGGGGGUUGGAAAGUUUCGGCGGUUGGGGAUGGACUCGCGGCUUAUCAGCUUGUUGGUGGGGUAGUGGCUUACCAAGGCUUUGACGGGUAGCCGGCCUGAGAGGGUGACCGGCCACAAUGGGACUGAGAGACGGCGCAGACGCCUACGGGAGGCAGCAGGGGGGAAUAUUGCACAAUGGGCGGAAGCCUGAGGCAGCAACGCCGCGUGCGGGAUGACGGCCUUCGGGUGGUAAACCGCUGUCGCAUGUGACGAAGCGUGAGUGACGGUAAUGGGUAAAGAAGCACCGGCUAACUACGUG